This 300-nucleotide unclassified non-coding RNA is filed under the name Paraglomus sp. Its description in RNAcentral is "partial contains 5.8S ribosomal RNA and internal transcribed spacer 2". The stretch from base 1 to 65 matches the Rfam family "5.8S ribosomal RNA", at positions 84 to 154 of the family's 154-position model. Lineage: Eukaryota; Fungi; Glomeromycota; Glomeromycetes; Paraglomerales; Paraglomeraceae. The record is from RNAcentral.
GUGAAUCAUCAAAUUUUUGAACGCAAAUUGCGCCUUUUUCGGAAGGCAUUUCUGUUUGAGGGCACCAUUUAACAGAUAAUGUGCAGCGUUUUUUUUUGCACACGUUGAUGAGCUUUCCAAUAAUUUUAAAUUUUUGGUGUCGCAUAAUGAACAGCGUGAAAGUUUUUUUCAGUUCGAGUGUAUUAAAAUCUUUUCUUUUGUUGUUAAAAAACAUAUUCUCUCAAUGGGUGUGUAAAUUUCUUUUUAUCCCUUCCCCAAUGCCACUCUUUCUCACGAAAGUAUGUCUAAUAUUCAGGUCCU